Molecule: non-coding RNA, 54 nt
Organism: Salmo salar (Atlantic salmon)
Lineage: Eukaryota; Metazoa; Chordata; Actinopteri; Salmoniformes; Salmonidae
Source: Rfam
UGUAUUCACUACUGUAAGUCGCUCUGGAUAAGAGCAUCUGCUAAAUGACUAAAA